UAGGGAAUCUUCCACAAUGGACGCAAGUCUGAUGGAGCAACGCCGCGUGAGUGAAGAAGGUUUUCGGAUCGUAAAGCCCUGUUGUUGGUGAAGAAGGAUAGAGGCAGUAACUGGUCUUUAUUUGACGGUAAUCAACCAGAAAGUCACGGCUAACUACGUGCCAGCAGCCGCGGUAAUACGUAGGUGGCAAGCGUUGUCCGGAUUUAUUGGGCGUAAAGCGAGCGCAGGCGGAAUGAUAAGUCUGCUGUGAAAGCCCACGGCUCAACCGUGGAACUGCAUCGGCAACUGUCAUUCUUGAGUGCAGAAGAGGAGAGUGGAAUUCCAUGUGUAGCGGUGGAAUGCGUAGAUAUAUGGAAGAACACCAGUGGCGAAGGCGGCUCUCUGGUCUGCAACUGACGCUGAGGCUCGAAAGCAUGGGUAGCGAACAGG
Molecule: ribosomal RNA, 429 nt
Filed under: bacterium
Lineage: Bacteria
Description: partial 16S ribosomal RNA
Rfam family: Bacterial small subunit ribosomal RNA
Source: RNAcentral